RNAcentral lists this ribosomal RNA (464 nucleotides) under Vreelandella stevensii. Its description in RNAcentral is "partial 16S ribosomal RNA". It matches the Rfam family "Bacterial small subunit ribosomal RNA", at positions 338 to 795 of the family's 1533-position model. The record is from RNAcentral. Lineage: Bacteria; Pseudomonadati; Pseudomonadota; Gammaproteobacteria; Oceanospirillales; Halomonadaceae.
CCUACGGGGGGCUGCAGUGGGGAAUAUUGGACAAUGGGGGGAACCCUGAUCCAGCCAUGCCGCGUGUGUGAAGAAGGCCCUCGGGUUGUAAAGCACUUUCAGUGAGGAAGAACGCCUGGUGGUUAAUACCCAUCAGGAAAGACAUCACUCACAGAAGAAGCACCGGCUAACUCCGUGCCAGCAGCCGCGGUAAUACGGAGGGUGCGAGCGUUAAUCGGAAUUACUGGGCGUAAAGCGCGCGUAGGUGGCUGAUAAGCCGGUUGUGAAAGCCCCGGGCUCAACCUGGGAACGGCAUCCGGAACUGUCAAGCUAGAGUGCAGGAGAGGAAGGUAGAAUUCCCGGUGUAGCGGUGAAAUGCGUAGAGAUCGGGAGGAAUACCAGUGGCGAAGGCGGCCUUCUGGACUGACACUGACACUGAGGUGCGAAAGCGUGGGUAGCAAACAGGAUUAGAUACCCGAGUAGUC